This is a small nuclear RNA of Vulpes vulpes (red fox), 170 nucleotides long. Its record names the gene U4. It matches the Rfam family "U4 spliceosomal RNA". From Rfam's summary of the family: U4 small nuclear RNA (U4 snRNA) is a component of the major U2-dependent spliceosome. The structure of U4 snRNA from yeast and human has been reported. NCBI's taxonomy places the organism in Eukaryota, Metazoa, Chordata, Mammalia, Carnivora, Canidae. The record is from Ensembl.
AGCUUUGUGCAGUGGCAGUAUCGUAGCCAAUGAGGUUAAUCUGAGGCACGAUUAUUGCUAACUGAAACCCUUCCUGAGAAUGGCCAAUGACAGUAAGAGCCUAUAACCUCUUCCUUGUUCACUGGCACAGAGAAAAAGUCUGUGCUAGCAUCUUGAAACUUCAAACAGAA